This 424-nucleotide unclassified non-coding RNA is filed under the name Eucalyptus resinifera x Eucalyptus tereticornis. RNAcentral's name for it is "partial miscellaneous RNA". The record is from RNAcentral. Lineage: Eukaryota; Viridiplantae; Streptophyta; Magnoliopsida; Myrtales; Myrtaceae.
ACUUUGGUCUUAGUAUAAGUCUAGCCGAGUUUUUGAUUGGAAAGGAGCAAUAACCAACACUCUUGAUAGAAAAAGAAAUUGGUUAUUGUUCCUUUAUUUAGUGCUCUUUUCUUUACAUAAGUUUUUCUUUACUUCAACAUAAGAAAAAGUAUUCUAGUCUUAGGGAUUGCUUUAUGAUUGCUUAUCAUACUUUUUUCCUUAGAUAUGAAUUUAUAUACAUUCUUUUCAACCCUUUGUAAGGCUUUGUAAGAUUAUUAUCUUCUAGUUUUUUUUUUCAAAUAAAAUAAAAAGGUUAUAAUUUUCUGCUUCUUCUAUCUCAUAAUUAARAUARAAAAAUGUGAAAAAUUCMCAAUCGAAUGAAAUAUUUUCCCUUAUGAAUUUUCUUUUUUUGAUUUCMUUAAAAAUGGAAUAUUCUUUUUUUAAA